Molecule: ribosomal RNA, 1442 nt
Filed under: metagenome
Description: bacterial SSU rRNA
Rfam family: Bacterial small subunit ribosomal RNA
Source: RNAcentral
AGAGUUUGAUCCUGGCUCAGGAUGAACGCUGGCGGCGUGCUUAACACAUGCAAGUCGAACGAUCCUUCGGGAUAGUGGCGGACGGGUGAGUAACGCGUGGGAAUCUGCCCUUAGGAGGGGGAUAACGACUGGAAACGGUCGCUAAUACCCCAUAUGCCGAGAGGUGAAACGAAUUUCGCCUGAGGAUGAGCCCGCGUCUGAUUAGCUAGUUGGUGGGGUAAUGGCCUACCAAGGCGACGAUCAGUAGCUGGUCUGAGAGGAUGAUCAGCCACACUGGGACUGAGACACGGCCCAGACUCCUACGGGAGGCAGCAGUGGGGAAUUUUCCGCAAUGGGCGAAAGCCUGACGGAGCAACGCCGCGUGAGGGAAGAAGGCCUCUGGGCUGUAAACCUCUUUUCUCAAGGAAGAAGAUCUGACGGUACUUGAGGAAUAAGCCACGGCUAAUUCCGUGCCAGCAGCCGCGGUAAUACGGGAGUGGCAAGCGUUAUCCGGAAUUAUUGGGCGUAAAGCGUCCGCAGGCGGCCUUGUAAGUCUGUUGUUAAAGCGUGGAGCUCAACUCCAUUUCAGCAAUGGAAACUACAAGGCUGGAGUGUGGCAGGGGCAGAGGGAAUUCCCGGUGUAGCGGUGAAAUGCGUAGAUAUCGGGAAGAACACCAGUGGCGAAGGCGCUCUGCUGGGCCAUAACUGACGCUCAUGGACGAAAGCCAGGGGAGCGAAAGGGAUUAGAUACCCCUGUAGUCCUGCCGUAAACGAUGAACACUAGGUGUCGGGGGAAUCGACCCCCUCGGUGUCGUAGCCAACGCGUUAAGUGUUCCGCCUGGGGAGUACGCACGCAAGUGUGAAACUCAAAGGAAUUGACGGGGGCCCGCACAAGCGGUGGAGUAUGUGGUUUAAUUCGAUGCAACGCGAAGAACCUUACCAGGGCUUGACAUCCUGCGAACCUUUGAGAAAUCAGAGGGUGCCUUCGGGAACGCAGAGACAGGUGGUGCAUGGCUGUCGUCAGCUCGUGUCGUGAGAUGUUGGGUUAAGUCCCGCAACGAGCGCAACCCACGUUUUUAGUUGCCAGCAUUCAGUUGGGCACUCUAGAGAGACCGCCGGUGAUAAACCGGAGGAAGGUGUGGAUGACGUCAAGUCAUCAUGCCCCUUACGUCCUGGGCUACACACGUACUACAAUGCUACGGACAAAGGGCAGCAAACUCGCGAGAGCUAGCAAAUCCCAUAAACCGUGGCUCAGUUCAGAUCGUAGGCUGCAACUCGCCUACGUGAAGGAGGAAUCGCUAGUAAUCGCAGGUCAGCAUACUGCGGUGAAUACGUUCCCGGGCCUUGUACACACCGCCCGUCACACCAUGGAAGUUGGCCAUGCCCGAAGUCGUUACUCCAACCCUUGUGGAGGAGGACGCCGAAGGUGGGGCUGAUGACUGGGGUGAAGUCGUAACAAGGUA